GUUUAUGAGGUCGUCUGGGCGGCGGGUAGCGGGGUGGGACUCCGCGUCGGGGAGAGGCAGCCUGCGCAGGGCCGAGGGGCGGCCGGGAGCCGGGCUCCGGGAUUGCUGCGGGGGACGGCAGUUGCGCCACAGCGUCGGUGUCCUCGUACCGGCGCCGUGCCCUUGGAACGAGGGCAGGACCGCGGGCAGCGCCGGGCCAGCGCGGAGCCCCUCCACGCUGCUGCGCUCCUGCGUCCCUGGCCCUCGGGCCAGGUGGGGAUAAUUUCUCGGCCCCCAGCGGCUGCGUUUCGGGCGUGGGCGAUGCGCCCUUUUCGGUGGGACGCAGCUGACUUGACCGUCUGGGAGAAGCAGUGCAAGGAAAUUGAUCUAGGGCUGCGCCUACUCUUCCUUCCCUCUCCCAGCAGGGUGGUUGCUUACCGGCUUGUGCCAGGCGGUUUGGUUUUGGCGGGGAUGCGGCAGAGGAGGCCCUUUGAGCCGCCCGAGGCCGGGGCGAGUUCAGAAUUGGAGAAGUCAGUCUGGUUCCCCAGUGUGAUCUUGGAGUGACAAGAGUUGGCCAUGUGCCCUCAAGUCACUGCAUCUCAGGCCUGCCCUCUCUGCCGCCAGGGUCGAUGGAAGUCCUGGGAAACCCAAAGGCUACAGGUGUUGGAAAUUUGUAGAUUUAAGGGCUCACACAGGCAACGGUUAGCGCUCAGGGAUUUUCCAGCGGCGCUUUUGACGCUGCCUUCCAUCUCCGGGCCCAGUGCUCCCCUGCCCCGCGCUGAGCUGUCUCCCACUCGCUACCGGCGAUGGGGAAGGGACAUCUGGGGAGAGGACAGGGGACGCCCUUAGUUUUUGAAGGCUGUGGAAGGACCCAUGAGUUUCACAGGUGUAACUUGAAGUUGGAAAGCGAGGGCCAAAGAACUGGUCUAUAUCUCUCCCUUUAGCCUCUUGCCACAUUUUAUACUAGAACGAUCUACAGAAGCGAUUUGAAGAGAAGGGGUGUGCCCUCAGGAGGAUGGGAUAGAGAUAAAGUGUGAACUUACAAACCUGGCAGAGAGCAGGCACCUGGGAUGCAGUGGGCUGGUGGAAGAAAGAUGGCCUCAGUACUCCCAUCGAAGUAACAGUAUGUUCCAGGAUGCAGUUGGAAAUUAGGUUGGAAUGGAUGGGAUCUAACAGGAACAGCUCUUGGAAGGAUGGGCUAUCUCAUUAGUACCUUACAACUUCCAAUGCAUUGUCACAUAUUGGAGUUGGGACCAGGGUGAGGCAAAAGAGGCCUUUAAGAGUCAUGCAAGUACACUGGCCUCUGUCCUGCCACAUGCCUUAUCUCACGUAAUACCCAUCUGACCCUUGUCUGGCUAUUUAGUUGGUUUCGGGGUGGAGAGAGCAGGGGAGGUAAGGAGCAGAGAUGGGAGAGAGGACAAGCUGGCAGAGACUCUUUCUCUAUGAAAAGCCUUGCCUGAGUCACUCCUUCCCUCACACUUGCAUGUUACUCCAUCCAAACGAAACCAGCCCCUUUUGUGACUUCACAAAAUCUAUACUCACACUCCCUGUCACUGAACUCCAGGUCCAGAAAACUAUGCCCCCUGUGUUUGGCUUUAGGCCAAUGUCGUGAGAUAUUCCACACAGACAUGUGCUGUAUCUUCUUUUAAAUGUUGUGACUUUUGACCCCACAAAUCUAGAAUUUGUCAUCUUUCAAAAAGAGUUCUGUGAUUUCUUUUUUUUUUUUUUUUUUUUUUUGAGGCAAGAGUCAAACUUUUUUUCCUCCUUGAAUUCCUAAGUGCUUGCUGGUAAGAAGGAUGCAGUUUUAAAGAACCCCAGCUUCUCCAUUCCUCACACCUGUAUACUGAUGACUUGGAGACUAACAUCUUCCAUUGCUAGGCUUAGGAAUGAAGUUUUGCCUCUGAAGGGAGUUGUGCAUUUGUAACUGUCAUUCAACCAAUGGUGAAAGAGUCACUGGUCCAGGGCCAAUGUGCUCUGCUGCCUCCGGGAAAGCAUAAGACAUCAGUCUGUGGAAGAGGGCACUGGUGGUUUCCUUCCCUCCAAGAGGACAUAGUUCAGUUGGGUACAUACUGCAUUUCCCAGAUUUUGAAUACACACGUUUUAAGGCUUCCAAAAUCAGGUAUCUUUUGACAUGGUAAUUCCUUUUCCUCCCCCAAUUUUUAAUUUGGUAAAUAUGUACAAUUUAUAUGCUCUUAACAUUUUUAAAUUUGAAAAUCGAGAGCAAAAUCUUAUAGCCUAAACAACAGGAGUGGUAAGAAUUUGGUGGUGGUGAACAACCAGAAAAUCUGGAGUCCCAGCCAUGUCCACUGCUAGGACCCAGAGAAGCCUAGCCUGGACUGGCCCAGCUGCCGGGCUGAUGAGUGUGACCUCUGAGGUGAUAAAAUAACACCCAUGUGGGAGGAAUGGCCAAUAAGAAGGACAUGCCAGCCCCACCUUAGAAAAAGGCAUGAGUAGAAAUGAAGGUGCUAUAUCACUAAAAAUGAUGACAUUGGGCCCCAAGCAUCCGAUUUUCUCUGGCACCUGGCUAAGACAGGCAUAGAGGACAGGGCCGGUUGGGGUGUAGUCAGAGACACCCUCCCUAUUCUGUGGCAUUGCUUUGGCCUGUAGCAAAGUGUUAAAAUGGGACUCUUCCUACUUCAGUUUCAACUGAGUUCCCAAGACAAUCAAUGCCAGCUACUCCCACUUCCAAAAUGCGGAACACAAGAGCUCCUUGAAAAUGAUUUUGUGUACCUUCUCCAGCCACUGUCCACCUCAAGGAAAGUGCAUGGAUUGAUACAGAAGAGGACUCAAAGUUGGAGUUCUAGGAUUGAGUUGUCAACAUUGUGAUCAGUUUUCCUCCCCAUACCAUGGAGAGAGGACAUGCCUUGCUCCUGUCUCUUAAGUCCAGUGACUAGGGCUUACCUGAGACCACACACAGAGCUUGAUAUCUGUCCCUGGAGCUUGUGGAACACAGGAGACUGCCCACUGGUGAGCAGCUGGCUGAAGAGGCCUAUUGUAGAGGACAUUUCCAUUUGGAAGUCACUCCCUCUUGCCUAUAUCAUGGCAAGGGAGUGUGUGGCAGAUUGAGUUUCCUGGAAGAUGACUCUGAGGGGGAAGAUUAGCAUGAGGAAGGUUUAUUAGAGUGCUCUUGGGAUAGCACCCAGAGGAGGAAAGGAGAAGAAGCAGGAUCAGAGAGAAGUGGACCCCCACUGCCCGGAUCUGAAGCUGGGAUGGCCCUUCAGAGUUGUCCCAAGGCAGAGUCAAGGGGCCUUUCUACCCCUGCCAUAGAUUGGUCAUUGUUCCUGGCUGACCUUGGGGAAAGGCUGUGACCUUGAGCAACAGCAUCUGGGGGAAUGUGUCCUUCAUUCCUAAGGGGAGAUCUGGGCAGGGAUCACAGGGUCCAGUAUGGCAUAUGGCAUGCAGGUACCAGAUGUGGAAACUGCAAGAAGAAUAACCACCUAGGGCCAGGCACAGUGGCUCACAUCUGUAAUCCCAGCACUUUGGGAGGCUGAGGCAGGCAGAUAACUUGAGGUCAGGAGUUCGAGACCAGCCUGGCCAACAUGGUGAAACCCUGUUUCUACUAAAAAUACAAAAAUCAGCCAGACAUGGUGGUGGGUGCCUGUAAUCCCAGCUACUCAGGAGGCUGAAGCAGGAGAAUCACUUGAACCUGGGAGGCAGAGGUUGCAGUGAGCCGAGAUCACACCACUGCACUCCAGCCUGGGCAACAGAGACUCCACCUCAAAAAAAAAAAAAAAAAAAGAAUAACCACCUAGAAUUAAAGGAAAAAAAAAUUUAGAGAUGAGGGUCUUGCUAUGUUGCCCAGGCUGGAGUGCAGUGGCUAUUCACAGGUGUGAUCAUGGCACAUUGUAGCCUUGAACUCCUGGGCUCAAGAACUUCUCCUGCUUCAGCCUCCCAAGUAGCCACUGUGCCCAGCAAUUUUUAAGGGGACUCUGUCCACAUGGGCUUCUUCAAAAAGACCUUGGCAGAAAAAGGUGGAGGCCCAACUGGAGAUAGAGGCUGAAGGAGGACCAUAAGUGACCAGCUGAAGGAGAGGCCCCUUUGGACUCUUGAAGACUGCAGUCCCAGGGGACCAAGAGGGUUCCAUACAAGGUGACAAAGGUACCAAAGAGGGAAGCACCAGCCAUGGCCAGGGAAGGUCAAAGAGAUACUUCAUCCAUGCUAGAAACAAAGGAUGGAAGGAGGAUGGAAGGAGGGAGAAAAAGAAGGAGGGAGGAAGGAAGGGAAGGAUCAAGGGAAGGAGAGAAGGAAGGAAGGAAGGAAGGCAGACAGAGAGGCAUCUCCUACUCCUUGUUUUUUAUUCUCCCUCCUACUCUACAGGGGCCAAGGUGAGGCUAGUAAGGGGAUGGGGUAGAGGUGCUAAAUGGGAAAAUGUCUUGGCGUCCUCAAUGCCUAGCAGGGAACCUGGCAUAAAAUGGACACUCAAAAAAUAAUAUACGAAGAAUGAGGAAAAUCUUUGCCCCUUUAUGAUUCCCAGUGACUGUGUAAGGGCCUUCUAUAUCUGCAUCAUUCUGGGGACUGAAUGUGGGUCCUUCCAAAGUCAUGGUGUUAUAGAACAGUGAUACAGGGGUGAUGUCUAAAGCACACACUGAAGUAUCCCCAGACGCACCUGCACAUACACACAUGUACAUGCUCAUGUACCUACCUGGUGCCAAGCUCAGAAAUAGGGUUCUACACAAACCUCACUGGAAACUUUUCAUUUCUCUUCAGUGCAUACCUCAGUCUUUGCCCUUUGAAGAAAACCAGGGAUGCAAUGCUGAGAAUGUGACUGUAAAUACUUCAGAUUUUAAACUCCGAGGAUUUUCUCUUGGUCUCCUCAGAGGGUUGUAGUCUGUGGUGUAUGGAUCCUGGGGUUUCAAGGCCAUCUGGCCCCUGUGUGCUCAAUGAUCUACCCCAGUGGAAGGAAGACGAGAAACAGACAUUUCAAAACCUUUAGGCAAUGGGUCUUGGCCUGAGACAGAGUUUCACUUUGUCGCCCAGGCUGGAGUGCAGUGGCGCAAUCUCCACUCACUGCAACCUCCGCCUCCUGGGUUCAAGUGAUUCUUGUGCCUCAGCCUCUUGAGUAGCAGGGAUUACAGGCACGCACCACCAUACCUGGCUAACUUUUUGUAUUUUUAGUAGAGGCAGGGUUUCACCAUGUUGGCCAGGCUGGUCUCGAAAUCUUGGCCUCAAGUGAUCCACCCACCUCAGCCUCCCAAAGUGCUGGGAUUACAGAUGUGAGCCGCCGCACCCAGCCAGCAUGCCCUAUCUUAAUUGUUAAUUUUCUAUGAUAGCAGAUUAGCUCUCCUAAUUACUUCUAUCUUAGGCUAGAUUAAAAUGCAUCCUGAUCAGAUAGUAAUUUAUGGUGAAGAGAUGCCUUCUGGCCUAAAAACAUGCCAGGGGUAAAUCUCUAAGUAGAUGACCUCAAGGCAGAGAACCCAGAGUGCACUGUGUAUGAAAGAAUUACGGAGUGAAGUUCAUGUGCCCAAGGUUUUAAAGAAUAAUUAAGAGCCUAAUUAUAAGAGUACUGAAAAGAGCCAUACACAAUUCCAAGUUAGCUUUGCCUGUUAAGAGUAGAAAGCUCAUUUUAUAAGUAAUAAAACGAUGGUGUUUACACAAUGCAGCUUUCCAAUUUCCUUUUCAAAUUCCACUGUGCUUGAGGCACCAUCCCCUUUGACUGCAUGCAUUCUGAUCUUUGUUGAAUUAAUUUCAUCUAGUAAUUCUUCUACUCAUUGGCAUCUAUUGACUGUCCAGUCCAUAUGCAUGGAUGUGGUUGAAACUCAG
This 5739-nucleotide long non-coding RNA is filed under the name Homo sapiens (human). RNAcentral's name for it is "non-protein coding lnc-ATP6V1E2-2:4". Lineage: Eukaryota; Metazoa; Chordata; Mammalia; Primates; Hominidae. The record is from RNAcentral.